UACGUAGGGUGCAAGCGUUGUCCGGAAUUAUUGGGCGUAAAGAGCUCGUAGGCGGUCUGUCGCGUCUGCUGUGAAAACUCGGGGCUUAACCCCGGGCCUGCAGUGGGUACGGGCAGACUAGAGUGCGGUAGGGGAGACUGGAAUUCCUGGUGUAGCGGUGAAAUGCGCAGAUAUCAGGAGGAACACCGGUGGCGAAGGCGGGGUCUC
This 207-nucleotide ribosomal RNA is filed under the name uncultured bacterium. RNAcentral describes it as "partial 16S ribosomal RNA". It matches the Rfam family "Bacterial small subunit ribosomal RNA", at positions 524 to 729 of the family's 1533-position model. The record is from RNAcentral.